Molecule: small nucleolar RNA, 73 nt
Filed under: Jaculus jaculus (lesser Egyptian jerboa)
Lineage: Eukaryota; Metazoa; Chordata; Mammalia; Rodentia; Dipodidae
Description: Small nucleolar RNA Z40 (ENSJJAG00000007880.1)
Rfam family: Small nucleolar RNA Z40
About the family: Z40 is a member of the C/D class of snoRNA which contain the C (UGAUGA) and D (CUGA) box motifs. Most of the members of the box C/D family function in directing site-specific 2'-O-methylation of substrate RNAs.
Source: Rfam by way of RNAcentral
UAGUGUUGUGAUGAUGGGCAAAAUGUUCAGUUGCUCUGAAUUGGCUGAAUGAAAUUAGCCUUUCUGAACAUCC